GAUGAACGCUGGCGGCGUGCUUAACACAUGCAAGUCGAACGAUGAAGCCUAGCUUGCUAGGUGGAUUAGUGGCGAACGGGUGAGUAACACGUGAGCAACCUGCCCCGAACUUUGGGAUAAGCGCUGGAAACGGCGUCUAAUACUGAAUACGCACCAUGGCGGCAUCGUCAAUGGUGGGAAAGAUUUUUCGGUUCGGGAGGGGCUCGCGGCCUAUCAGCUUGUUGGUGAGGUAAUGGCUCACCAAGGCGUCGACGGGUAGCCGGCCUGAGAGGGUGACCGGCCACACUGGGACUGAGACACGGCCCAGACUCCUACGGGAGGCAGCAGUGGGGAAUAUUGCACAAUGGGCGCAAGCCUGAUGCAGCAACGCCGCGUGAGGGAUGACGGCCUUCGGGUUGUAAACCUCUUUUAGUAGGGAAGAAGCGAAAGUGACGGUACCUGCAGAAAAAGCACCGGCUAACUACGUGCCAGCCGCCGCGGUAAAAC
RNAcentral lists this ribosomal RNA (486 nucleotides) under uncultured bacterium. Its description in RNAcentral is "bacterial SSU rRNA". It matches the Rfam family "Bacterial small subunit ribosomal RNA", at positions 28 to 526 of the family's 1533-position model. The record is from RNAcentral.